This 539-nucleotide ribosomal RNA is filed under the name Bokermannohyla hylax (Atlantic forest treefrog). RNAcentral describes it as "partial large subunit ribosomal RNA". It matches the Rfam family "Bacterial large subunit ribosomal RNA", at positions 1857 to 2597 of the family's 2925-position model. The record is from RNAcentral. Lineage: Eukaryota; Metazoa; Chordata; Amphibia; Anura; Hylidae.
GCCUGCCCAGUGACUUAGUUCAACGGCCGCGGUAUCCUAACCGUGCGAAGGUAGCGUAAUCACUUGUUCUUUAAAUGAGGACUAGUAUGAAUGGCACCACGAGGGUUAAACUGUCUCCUUUUUUUGAUCAGUGAAACUAAUCUCCCCGUGAAAAAGCGGGGAUACUUAUAUAAGACGAGAAGACCCUAUGGAGCUUUAAACAAACUAACAUCCGCUACCACUUAAUUACUUUCAGAAUUACCACAAAAAACAUAGCAUUUUGAUUAUAAAUUUUCGAUUGGGGUGAUCACGGAGAUAAAAAACAACCUCCACGACGAAAGGACUAAACUCCUUAACAAAAAGCUACUACUUUAUGCAUUAACAUAUUAACGACCUUUGACCCAUUAUUUGAUCAACGAACCAAGUUACCCUAGGGAUAACAGCGCAAUCUACUUCGAGAGCCCCUAUCGACAAGUGGGUUUACGACCUCAAUGUUGGAUCAGGGUAUCCCAGUGGUGCAGCCGCUACUAACGGUUCGUUUGUUCAACGAUUAAAACCCU